Molecule: ribosomal RNA, 253 nt
Filed under: uncultured bacterium
Lineage: Bacteria
Description: partial 16S ribosomal RNA
Rfam family: Bacterial small subunit ribosomal RNA
Source: RNAcentral
UACAGAGGUCUCGAGCGUUAGGCGGAAUCACUGGGCUUAAAGCGUGUGUAGGUGGAUCGUUAAGUACCUUGUGAAAUCCCACGGCUUAACCGUGGAACUGCUUGGUAUACUGGCGGUCUUGAGCCAGCUAGGGGCUACCGGAACAAAUGGUGGAGCGGUGAAAUUCGUAGAUAUUCGCAAGAACACCAGUGGCGAAGGCGGCUCACUGGCCCGGUACUGACGCUGAGGCACGAAAGCGUGGGGAGCAAACAGG